GCAGUCGAGCGGUAACAUUUCUAGCUUGCUAGAAGAUGACGAGCGGCGGACGGGUGAGUAAUACUUAGGAAUCUACCUAGUAGUGGGGGAUAGCUCGGGGAAACUCGAAUUAAUACCGCAUACGACCUACGGGAGAAAGGGGGCAACUUGUUGCUCUCGCUAUUAGAUGAGCCUAAGUCGGAUUAGCUAGAUGGUGGGGUAAAGGCCUACCAUGGCGACGAUCUGUAGCUGGUCUGAGAGGAUGAUCAGCCACACCGGGACUGAGACACGGCCCGGACUCCUACGGGAGGCAGCAGUGGGGAAUAUUGGACAAUGGGGGAAACCCUGAUCCAGCCAUGCCGCGUGUGUGAAGAAGGCCUUUUGGUUGUAAAGCACUUUAAGCAGUGAAGAAGACUCUUCGGUUAAUACCCGGAGACGAUGACAUUAGCUGCAGAAUAAGCACCGGCUAACUCUGUGCCAGCAGCCGCGGUAAUACAGAGGGUGCAAGCGUUAAUCGGAAUUACUGGGCGUAAAGCGAGCGUAGGUGGCUUGAUAAGUCAGAUGUGAAAUCCCCGGGCUUAACCUGGGAACUGCAUCUGAUACUGUCAGGCUAGAGUAGGUGAGAGGAAGGUAGAAUUCCAGGUGUAGCGGUGAAAUGCGUAGAGAUCUGGAGGAAUACCGAUGGCGAAGGCAGCCUUCUGGCAUCAUACUGACACUGAGGCUCGAAA
Molecule: ribosomal RNA, 707 nt
Filed under: Psychrobacter sp. Y4_579_4
Lineage: Bacteria; Pseudomonadati; Pseudomonadota; Gammaproteobacteria; Moraxellales; Moraxellaceae
Description: bacterial SSU rRNA
Rfam family: Bacterial small subunit ribosomal RNA
Source: RNAcentral